This 252-nucleotide ribosomal RNA is filed under the name uncultured bacterium. Its description in RNAcentral is "partial 16S ribosomal RNA". It matches the Rfam family "Bacterial small subunit ribosomal RNA", at positions 524 to 776 of the family's 1533-position model. The record is from RNAcentral.
UACGUAGGGCGCAAGCGUUGUCCGGAAUUACUGGGCGUAAAGAGCUCGUAGGUGGUUUGUCGCGUUGUUCGUGAAAACUCACAGCUCAACUGUGGGCGUGCGGCGAUACGGGCAGACUAGAGUACUGCAGGGGAGACUGGAAUUCCUGGUGUAGCGGUGGAAUGCGCAGAUAUCAGGAGGAACACCGGUGGCGAAGGCGGGUCUCUGGGCAGUAACUGACGCUGAGGAGCGAAAGCGUGGGGAGCGAACAGG